This is a long non-coding RNA of Rhagoletis zephyria (snowberry fruit fly), 383 nucleotides long. RefSeq lists it as uncharacterized. The record is from RefSeq and is a predicted model, not a curated record. NCBI's taxonomy places the organism in Eukaryota, Metazoa, Arthropoda, Insecta, Diptera, Tephritidae.
UUUGCACAAGGAGGUGCAGGAGUUUAGGGCAGAAAACCCGAAAAUUAAGCUCCUCGUAAUGCCUUCACAACCUUUUGAAGAAAUAAAGCAAUUCUUAUCAUUUGAAGCUACUCUACAAAGGAAUGGCGUAGUUUUUUCUUCUUUUGAGACGGAAUUUGCAGUGGUUGCCAAAGCACCGAGCUUUGUAAGAAACUGUUGGAAAAAAAUUUUGAUAGAUGAAGUUUUGCCACAGUUGUGCUGGAAAGGGGCGGAAACGAAAAAAAGUAUGCGGCUAUAUCAUGCGGUAUUGGUGAAGAUCAAAUAAUAAAGGAUACUAGAAUUUUCUUUCAAUUUGCCAAAAAUCGCACUAAACUACGUGGAAAUUACAAAAGACGUGAAAAAAC